RNAcentral lists this unclassified non-coding RNA (3286 nucleotides) under Manduca sexta (tobacco hornworm). RNAcentral's name for it is "uncharacterized LOC115450068, transcript variant X6". The record is from RNAcentral. Lineage: Eukaryota; Metazoa; Arthropoda; Insecta; Lepidoptera; Sphingidae.
GUUUUUUUAUUUACAAGUAAUCACAAACUCUGAUCACUGAAGAUUGGAAUUGGAUUUAAUUUUAAUUUUUAAAUCUAACUCAAAGAGAAUUAUCUAAAUGAUGUGGAGUGCCGGCAGUGAUAUAGAAGUUUUAGAUAUUUUACCGAAAGGGGCGAUUGGAUUUAAGACGAAUAUAUUACUUGCGAGUGUGGGAAAAGAUUCCUUGUAAUGAAUAGUACUAUUUAAAAAAAAAGUGAACGAGAUAAAACGAUCGUGCGGUCAACAGCUCUGAGGAUUCCAAUAAGUGCAUUACAGGCUUGUAGGGACGGUAACUUCUAGUUUACACACCCUGUUCUAUGUGUAAAAUAUUGUGUUAACUUCAUUAAGACGUGACAAAAAAGUAUUUGUUUAAUCAAACAUGGUUUAUACAUGUUUUUUAUGUAAAUGGAGGGGUGAUAAAUUUCCCCGAAGAUCCUAUCACAAAUUUCCUUCCAAUGCAGAAAUGAGGCAGAAAUGGUUAGAUAUAAUGGGAAAGAGCAACGUAUCUAUUGGAGUACGGACAUCACUGUGCUCUAUACAUUUUGAUGAAGACUGUUUUCGAUACGGAUUAGUCAAUGGAAGAAGAAUAUUGAAGGACGGAAGCAUACCAACACUACAUUUGACGAAUGACAAACAGGAACAAAUCAUUGACUUGGUUGAUGAAAUAAAACAUCCAGAACCGUUUAUAGAAAGUAGUGUCCGUACAGGACAUACAACAGGAGAGGCUGUGCAGAUUGAACCACAGACGCACAGAAAAGAGACAGAGGAUGUAAAUAUAAACGAUUCGGUCCAAUGCAUUUCGUGCGCUCGGUUAAUAACAGAGUUCCGCUAUACAUGUGUGCAGUGUAGCGACUUGGACCUGUGCGGCGCGUGCGAGGCCGACAGAGCACACCACCAACACUAUGUGCUGCGAAUACCAGCUGAUAGACCUGCAGCUGAAGUCAAAUUCGUGCUAGCUACAUUAAGACGAUAUCUGCCGACUCUGGAUCCUAAAACUGUGUCUGAACCUGAUUGGGAUGGUCCAUUAAGCAUCAAGUCUGAAAUAAAGUCCGAGUGUGAGGACGAUGAAGAGAUGACUCCGACGGUGGCGCACGUGUCGGAGAACACAGUGUUGUGGGCCGCGUGCGAACAUCAGGAACAUAGACACUGCUUCACAAAUAUAGGAAUAAAGUUGGAGUCAGUUAACGAGGGUGACAGUGUGCACUUCUCGAGCGCAGACGAAUGUGACAGUAGUGAUGGUACAAAUGCGAUGGUGGGCAAAGGGAGAAGAGAUGUUGGUACGGAUGGUGGUACAACUAAUGCUGUUCCCAUGUCUAGUCAUACUGAGAUGCUAGAUGAUACCACAUCAGCUAAAGAAACAUGCUUUACGUCAGUCAGUUCUGGACAUGAGGAAUUAAUAAUAAUGGAGAGCGGGCCAAGGGAAGAUAUAAAUCAAGAAGAGUCAGAGAUCGCCGACAAUAGUACAGAUCACACGCCGUCAAAAAAGUCAAGAUCAAUCAAAUCAAAAAUCGAUAUCAUAGAUAUUGAUGACGUUCAAUUUAUGCAAACUUACAGAAUGUCAAAGAGAACAGCUAUCGAGAUAUGUAAUCAAAUCGAUAAAGACUUGGAAUUCAGGAGUGAAAGAGUGGCAUCAUUCGAACAGCUACUCAUAGCCCUCAGGUACUACGCCACCGGCACUCAUCUACAGAAGAUAGCUUCAGGUCAUCGAGUGAGCAUAUCUACAGCAAGCAGGAUCGUCAAGAGAGUAUCAAGCGCGAUAGUCAAGCUGAAGGACAAAUAUAUACACAUGCCGACUGCCGAAGAUAUAGAGAUGUGUCAGAAGGAGUUUUGUAGUGUAGCGAAUUUUCCUACCAUCAUAGGGUGUAUAGAUUGCACGCAUGUGAGGAUUACUUCGCCAGGUAACAAUUGUGACGCGUACAAAAACAAAAGAGCCUAUUUCUCAUUGAAUGUACAAACGGUGGUAGACUCAAAAUUGAGGAUAAGGCACGUGGUCGCUCAUUCACCGGGCUCCACUAGCGAUGCUAGAGUGUUUGAGGACAGCGUGUUGAGCCAGGAGUUUGAGGCAGGAGAAUAUGGUAAAGCGUGUCUGCUUGGUGACAGCGCGUAUCCCUUGAAGAAAUAUUUGCUCACACCGUACCUAGAACCAACCACAGAAGUGCGGAAACGCUACAAUAAAAGCCACAGCGAGACCAGAAAAGUAGUAGAGACACUAUAUAGCAUGUUAAAGAAGAGGUUCCCAGCUCUCGCAGUAGGGUUACGGAUUAAUUUACAGACAGCAGUCGAUAUGAUCACCGCCUGUUGCAUCCUCCAUAACAUAUGCGUGGAGAAUGGCGAAGAUGUCCCCCCGCCUGACAUAAAGAAUGCAGUGUUGGAAGCCCACAUAGAGCAUGGGAGUAUUGUCGAUGUCUAUGACAAGCCUGGAGAUGACGGUAGAAGGAAUGCGAUCAUUCGUAAAUAUUUUUCAGAGACAAUGGUGAAAUCAAAAGCUCACCGUCAAAAAGAGUACCGUCAGAGAAAAAAAAUAGAAAAUCAAAUUGAAAUAAAAAUACGAAAAACAAACGCUCAGUACCAACAGAAGUUUAGAGAGAAUCAAAAAAAUAAAUUGCGCAAUGAAACAUCUGAUUCCUGCCUUGCCAGAAAAAAAGCCAUUGCUGAACGCGCUAAAAGAUACAGAGACAAUAAAAAAAAGAAGCAACAGAACGAAACGUUGGAGGCGAUUCUUGCCAGUUUUAUAUUUUUCAGAAGAAAAACGAAUGCUGAACGCAUCAAAAUAUACAGAGAUAAAUUAAAAUCGAAAAGAGAACGUGCUGAACUUGAAUCUUUAAAAUCAUCGUAAGGAGUUUGAUUAUCAACCGCACCAAUGUAGUAAGGAAGAAUUAGAAAAAACAAUAAAUACCACUUUUAUCCUCGAUGGGGUAGGCAGAAGCGUAACAGGUGCAUCCACUUUCCACCCGGCCAUGACGCUGCGCCGGAGUGACUACGGGAUAUAAAUGAGAUGACUUGAUACGCAGCUGGGAUUAGUUCUUGUUGAGUAAAGGGUGAAAAUUGUUGUAGGAGAGAUCUUCGCUGGCCAGAGCGUAGAGAGCAGUAAAUAUGGACUUAGGAUCUAAACUUGGGGAGGGAGGAACUAAGGUUGGGAAAGAUAUUUUUCAAAGAGAAUUAACGGCAAACACGUAUAUGUAAAAAUAAAUUUAAUGCAUUAUGUAUGUUAAUUUGUAAAUAAUUUAUAAUUCUCUAUGUUUUCCGAAAAUAUAUCAGUAGAUAAUCA